RNAcentral lists this long non-coding RNA (583 nucleotides) under Sus scrofa (pig). RNAcentral describes it as "lncRNA (ENSSSCG00005019298.1)". Lineage: Eukaryota; Metazoa; Chordata; Mammalia; Artiodactyla; Suidae. The record is from RNAcentral.
UGUUUGGAGUGACAGGUUUCCUGUGGGCCCUGGCAGCCAACAAGGACUAUUGUUUGGAGCAUGCCACACUGAUGCUUGUGCAAGGGGAGGAGACGAGGAGGACAAGGAGGCAGGCGAGCUUCAUUCCUUGGUUCAUGAAAUAGGAAUAUUUCCAAGAAGUAAGAGAUGGGCAUUUUCAUGGUGUCAGAGGCACUCGCAGCAUCUACCCUUUGAAUUAGUUUCAAGUUGCUGCGUAAGAAAUGACUAAUUCAUUAUGAUCUUGAGGCCGUGCAGACUGACCUAUAAUCUUAGAAUUACUAAGCCAUUAUGAAAGGUUUUCUAUUAGGUAAGUUUCCAUCCCUUUACCAUUCAACAUUUUGCUAACUCAAAGCAUUUUUACAAAUAUUUAAUUGAUUGGAAUCUGGAAAAGUAAUAAGCUUUUUUUCUGUUCUUAUAUGGCAUCCCCAAUAUCACAGUCUAUAACUGAUUUGAAAGAUUACCUAUAGCCCCUGGAUAUUCUUCUCCCCAUGUUAAAAGAAAGCAGGAAAAAUGAGAUUUGUGGAUGCAUCAUUACAAAUCGAGAUCAGUGGCGGGUGAAAAUUCU